AAGCAUGUGGACAAUUCAGUCAUGCAACAGAAAACCAGCAGAGUUAACAAGGCCACCAGUCUCUCGAGAUCAGGCUGAGUUGGUAGUAUAAUACUCUGACACUU
This 104-nucleotide small nucleolar RNA is filed under the name Salmo trutta (river trout). RNAcentral's name for it is "Small nucleolar RNA U109 (ENSSTUG00000041642.1)". It matches the Rfam family "Small nucleolar RNA U109". The record is from Rfam by way of RNAcentral. Lineage: Eukaryota; Metazoa; Chordata; Actinopteri; Salmoniformes; Salmonidae.